Non-coding RNA from Triticum urartu, 508 nucleotides. NCBI's taxonomy places the organism in Eukaryota, Viridiplantae, Streptophyta, Magnoliopsida, Poales, Poaceae. The record is from RefSeq and is a predicted model, not a curated record.
UCUGCGCAGUUUGCAUCCCGUUUCACUUCGGAGAGAAAAACAAACAAAAUGCGAAUGCGACAGCACGCACCGUGGAACUCCCGGGCCGGAGCGCCGAUGCUGCCGCGGGAAACAGCGCUUGUGCGCGAGUACGGCGACCGGCGGCGGAGCGGGAACCGCCUCUCGUGCUCGAAGCAGUCGGUCAAGUCGCCGUUUGCCGCACCGGGGAUCACCAAUGCCCGCCAGCUGUUCGCUCUUUUGCUCGAGACGGGAAAAACUAGUUAUGUGUGGAAAUGGGGUUGACACCUUACCAGAACGAGAUCCGAGUCUCGCAAGAACUCUAGCUGAUGGGUAACAUACAUGACUGUCUUAGAGGACAUUAGUCUCAAUUGCUCAUGGUUUACGUACCUUGAAGAGAUGUGCGCUGGUGUGCGCAUCCACAGCACUGAAGGGGUCAUCCAAGAAGUAAACAUCAGAAUCGCUGUACAAUGCCCUGGCAAGCUGGAUCCUCUGCUUCUGGCCUCCACUU